AGUGGACCUCGCAGGCCCGUGGCGUCAUGAGUCGCAGCCUGGACUCCGCGCGCAGCUUCCUGGAGCAGCUGGAGGCGCGGGGCGGCCAUAAGGCUGCGAUCCUCUCCGGCGAGUUCCGCGACUCUGAUGUGGCUCUUCUCUCUCUCUCCUCUCUCCACUUCGUCUGUUCCCGGUGCCUCCCUAGGACAUCCGGGCUCGCUCAGCCUCCUGGAAGACUGAGGGUGUCUGCUCCACGGAGGCAGCCAGUCAGCUGGGGAACAUGAAGAAGAACCGCUACAAAGACGUGCUGCCCUAUGAUCAGACAAGAGUGAUCCUCUCCCUGCUGCAGGAGGAAGGACAUGGCGACUACAUCAACGGCAACUUCAUCCGGGGUGCAGAUGGAAGCCAGGCCUACAUCGCCACACAAGGACCUCUGCCUCACACGCUGCUAGAUUUCUGGCGCCUGGUCUGGGAGUUUGAGGUCAAGGUGAUCCUGAUGGCGUGUAGAGAGAUGGAGCAAGGGCAGAAAAAGUGCGAGCGUUACUGGGCCCAAGAACAAGAGCAGCUGAAGAUCGGGCUCUUCUCCGUCAUCCUGACAAAGGCGAUGCAGGUGAAUGCAGACAUUAUGCUCAGGACCCUCCAAGUCACAUUCCAGGAGAAAUCCCGUUCUGUGCACCAGCUGCAGUUUAUCUCCUGGCCAGACCAUGGGGUCCCUAACAACCCUGACUGUGUACUCACCAUGGUGGAGGAAGCCCGGCGCCUCCAGGGAUCUGGGCCUGGGCCCCUCUGUGUUCACUGCAGUGCGGGCUGCGGGCGAACAGGUGUCCUGUGCACUGUGGAUUAUGUGAGGCAGCUGCUCCUGACUCAGACGAUUCCACCCAACUUCAGCCUCUAUGAUGUGGUCCUCGAGAUGCGGAAGCAGCGGCCUUCUGCUAUCCAGACGGAGGAGCAGUACAGGUUUGUGUACCACACGGUGGCUCAGAUGUUCUGCUCAGCACUCCAGAAUGCCAGCCCCCACUCUGAAAAACUCAAGGAGAAUCGUUCCCCACUCCGUGGUGAUGCCCUCUCCUUCCGGACUUCCCCUGCACUCCCUGCAAUACCCCGCCCACUUGGUGUAAUACUCAGGAGCAUCUCGGUGCCCGGGGCCCCCGCCCUCGCCAUGGAGGACGCGUACGCGGUGGUGCAGAAGCGCGGGGCCCCUGAGGGUGCGGGGCCGGAGGCGAGUGGGCGCAGGGCGGAGGAGUCGCCGCUCUACAGCCAGGUGACGCCGCGCGCCCUGCGGCCCCGGGCGGACCCGCCUGACGUCGGGGCCCGGGCGGAAGACGCGCGGCGGCCGCUGACCGGUCACGCUCCUGCAAUCCAAGGCCCUGCCUGGCCCGGCGCCUGUGAGGAUGUGGCGAAUGGAGUUCAGACUGGUGGACUAGGUUUCAACCUGCGCAUUGGAAGACCAAAAGGGCCUCGGGACCCACCUGCCGAGUGGACCCGAGUGUGAGUGGAGUGGCUGCACCUGCCUGUUGCCCCACGUUACUGCUUGGAGUGCCCAGCCAACUUUCAUUGCUCGUUUAUGCAGAAUGUUGGGAAUGGGAACCCUGAGCCUGGAUCAAAAUAAAAGUUUCUAAGGGCUUAAAGGGAGCCAAUCCCAGAAGCAGAGAAAAGGGACCUGGCAACCAUCAAGAAGAAGAGCCAGAAGCAGAGCAUGUCCUUUGGAUCCAGGAUCACUGCUGAGAACCUCCUAGACCAAGGAGACAGAGCUGUAACACUGGAGACAGCUGUAGAUGACAGGAAGUGGCAGCAGAGAAAUGGCAGCGGGAGGAACUAGGAGACCGGCAUGAGAUGGCACAGUUGGCUUCCGGGCCCACAAAGCGAGGUGGCUACAGUGCGCAUGCCAAGCCAUGGAGCAAGAGAGCUGAGCACCUUCUGGCAGGAGUUUUCCUGGCAAAAUGAGGUACAUUCAGGCACUUCCCGAAGGAGUUAAACAGCUUUUAACACUUGCCAUAGCAGGGCAGAGGCCAAGCCGAGGGGCUGAGGGGCCAAGAGCUGAGAGAGGCCUGCCUGUGGGCACAGCCAGGAAGUUGCUCUGACCAAAGAACUGUACCUUGAGUUGUUCCUGAUCCUGAAAUGUAGCCUGUUGCUUUCAAAUAAAUCUCAUGUCUGUGAGCAUAGUUUGUGAGUUCUGUGUGGCUGCUGCAAUGAAUUAUCAAACCCAGCAGAGACGUAGAGAGCACUGUUGCAGUGUGAUGGAUCGCUUUUCUGUGACCUUUCUACCUAUGGUCUUGUAAUUCCCACCCAAGUGAUUGGGCAGGGCUGUGUGGUAGGGUAAUUGUGGCCCACUAAGGGGAUUGGUCAGUUUUGCCAUCCUGCUGUUCUUGAAAUUAGCCACCUCAGAGGCAGGAAGCAGAGGAUCCUCUUAUCUAGUGGUAUAAAGAGAACUAAACGUUUGAUGGAAAUGAGUAUUGGGCAUUAUAGAUCACAGACAGCUUGUAACUUCACUUUCAGGCAAUACUUGAUAUGCUAAAAGCUGAACUGGGAUUUACCCUAGGGAAACAUAGAUUUUGAAUGCAGUAGUCCUGCAUGUAGAGUAUUGGGGUCUUAGGUCCAAAACCUGAGCCCUACCUGGAAUCUUUUGGAGCCAGGAGAUUUGCAUUUGAAAAGACAUGCGGACCCACCCAGAACUUCGGGAGAGCAUAUUUGCGUUUGAAAGAAAGACGUGCAGAGGAAAAAAGAUGACCAAUUUGCUUUUUGAAUUUCAAGCAAGCGGUUUGCCCUUGGGUACAUCAAGGCAGGAAAAGUCAGUGCCCUUCAGAAGAAUCCCCUUCUAAGACAAGAAGUUAAAGGGAACCAGUUAGUAGACAGCCUGGUAUGCUGGCUUGAUGUACAGCAGUGAACAGAUGGGCUGAGUUUGGACAUGUUCCAUUGGCACCUCUUGACCUGGCCCACGGAGGCUAGGGAUGACAGACAGAGAAGGGGCUGGCUGAUCUGAAGUGCAGGGAGCUGUGUAGACUCCUGAGCCUACAGGUGGCACCUGUUGACCUAGCCCAUUGGGGGUAGGAAUGAGAGAAAGAGAGAAGGGGUUAGCUGGCCUAAUAGCAGGGAAGUAUGUGGAAUCCCAAGCCUACAGCUGGUGUCCAUUAACCUAGCCCUUGGGGAAUAGGGAUGAGGUGACCAGACCCAGACCGAAUGAAGAGAGAGAGAGAUGUUUCACACUGUGAGUUGGUGUAGAUUGCUGCAAUUUGAUGGCUUGCUCUGGAUUGGAGUUUGCUUGUGGAUGCAGAUGUAUAAAGAUCUAACAGGAACAGAAGAUUCUUCAGAUCGAGGAACAUGUUUGUCUCCUCAGAGUACUGGUUUGGUAGGGAUGAGCAAUUUAAACACUGUCCCCACCGAAUAGCUUCUUCUUUUCUCUCUUCCUGGUGGGUCUGGGUAAGAGAGGGUAGGGAAAGAUGCUGAUAGGAUUAUAUAAUUCACUUGUGAAUAUUGAUUGUUAACAGGGUUAAUUUGUGACUGUAAAAUCUGUAAUUGUAGAACCUGUAAGUGGGAAAGAGUGGACUAAGGGGGAGGCACUGCUGGACUGGAAUACAGUGGCCAAACCUAAAGUCAGUUAAAGAUUUUGCGAUGCUGAUACCUCAAGAGAGGCUCAGAGCAAGGAAAUAAUCAUCUCUCAGUUAAAUUUUAUCAGAGGCCAGAAAGGGUAAAGGUGAGAUGACAUUUGGAGAACCUAACCAAGUCAGAUGGAGACCUACAGCAGACCUGAAUUGCUGAUAACCUGAGUAACCUCACCCAGAGAACUCUACACCCUACGGAAGGAUUAAUUGUUAAUGACUGGUUUGGACUGGUAAAAUGAUUGGAAGGAGAAUGUUACCCUCCAAGUAUGAAAGGACCAAUGGCUAGAAGAACCAGGGGGUGGCCUGCAGUGCAGUGAAUUAGUUAAUAUGGCCCUUCAAGCCAUGGACUUUGUAUUCCCAUAAAAUGAUUGGGUGGGACUAUGCAAAUAAGUUGCUUGUGGCUCACCAAGGGGAUUGGACAGCUUGCAAAUAAUGCAAAUAAAAGUGCAUGGAGCCUUGUGGGGAUGGGACCAUGCAAAUAAGGAGUAUGGAACCCUAAUGAGGGAACUGGCCAGUUUUGCCACCCUGCUAGGCUUAAAGGGAGCUGUCAUGGAUUGAAUCGUGUCCCCCCAAAAUAUCUGUUAACUUGGCUAGAACAUGAUUCUCAGUAUUGUGUGAUUUUCCACCAUUUUGUCAUCUGAUGUGAUUUUCCUAUGUGUUGUAAAUCCUAUCUCCACGAUGUUAAUGAAGUGGGAUUAUCCGCAGUUAUGUAAAUGAGGCAGGACUCAAUCUACAAGAUUAGGUUGUGUCUUAAGCCAAUCUUUUUUUGAGAUAUAAAAGAAAGAAGCAAGCAGAGAGACAUGGGGAUUUCAUCCCACCAAGAAAGUAGUGCCAGAAGAAGAAUGUAUCCUUUGAACCAGGGGUCCCUGCACUGAGAAGCUCCUAGUCCAGAGGAUGAUUGAUGACAAGGACCUUCCUCCAGAGCCAACAGAGAGAGAAAGCCUUCCUCUGGAGCUGACACCCUGAAUUUGGACUUCCAGCCUCCUAGACUGUGAGAAAAUAAGCUUCUGUUUGUUGAGGCCAUCCACUUGUGAUAUUUCUGUUAUAGCAGCACUAGAUAACUAAGACAGGAUUAAAUCCCAGAAGCAGAAAAAGGGGACUUCACUACCAUGAAGAAGCAGAGGAGCCAGGAACAGUGUGCAUCCUUUGGACCUGGGGUCCCUUUGCAAAGAACCUCCUAGUCCCAGGAGACAGAGAGAGCUGUAACACCAGAGAUGGCUGUAGAUGAUAAGAAGUGGUGGCAGAGAAAUGACAGCAGCAGGAACCAAGACAGACCAGUAUAAGACAGCACAGUGAGCUUCCUGGCCCCUAGAAUGAGGCAGCUGUCGUGGGUGUGCUGACCCAUGGAACGAGAAGGCUAAGCACCUUUGGGCAGGAGGCUUCCUGGCAGAGUGGGUUGCCUUUGGGCACUUAUCGGAGGAGCACCCGAGAAGGCCAGAGGCCAGAUUGAGAGGCCAAAGGGUUGAUGGGCUGAGAGCUGAGAGAAAGGCCUGCCUGCAGGCACAACUGAGAAGCUGUUCUGACUGAAGAACUGUAUCCUGAGUUGUUCCCAAUCCUGAAUUGUAACCUUUUACUUCCUUAAAAAACUCCAUGACUGUGAGUAUGGUUUGUGAGUUCUGUGUGGCCAUUGCAGUGAAUUAUUGAACCCAGCUGAGUAGAGAGUGCUGUGGGAAGGACAGCUGGUGUCAGACUUGGUAAAAAGGUUGGAGGGUGGAGGUAUGUUUGACCUCCACCUUAAUAGGAGUCAGCCUUUGGCUUGACUGAAUGAUCUUGAUUCUCUCUCCUCCCCAUUGUGAAGUUAGACGAGGUCUGUUGCCACUGUAUUGUUUUUACAGCUGGGCUCUGUACAUAUUUUAACUCAUUUAAUCUGUAAAACAAUAUUAAAAACAAGCCAAACCCAUUGCCGUCGAGUUGAUUCUGACUCAUAGUGACCCUAUAGGACAGAGUAGAGCUGCCCCAUAGGGUUUCUAAGGAGCGGCUGGUGUAUUUGAAUGCUGACCUUUUUGGUUAACAGCUGAACUUGUAACCACUUUGCCACUAGGGCCCCCAAAACACUGUUAGGAAGUAGGUAUUGUCAGCUGUGCCCAUUUUACUGAAUAAGGUUCAAAGAAUACAGCUGUUAAUCUGAAAUUCAGUUUCAGAUCUGGGCAACACCCAAGCCGAUGAUGAUAUAAAGCCAUAGGGGUCUUGGUGUUUGGGGUGUAUAAUACAUGGCCAUGAGCAAAUGAGGUCCUAAAUCAUUAAAUAAAUACUAAUAGCCCACCCCUGAGUGGGUGCUUGGUGUGCAUUUGUGCUGAUUCAGUAAUCUCUGGAGUAAUCCCAUAAUAGAGGUAAUGUCGUCAUGCCCAUUUUUUGUAAUCUAGUAAUAACUGGCGUGAACAAAGGAUUGUUUCUUUAAUCUGUGAAAGGCCACGUAUCAUACCUUUGACUUGGUCUCUAAUAGCUAUGUGAUCUUGAGCAAGUUUAUUAAUUUUUCUCUGCCUCAGUAUCUAGUCUUUAAAAUAGGGAUAAUAAAGUUUCUCUGUCAUAGGGUUGCUACAAUUAUAAUUGCCCAGAGUGAAUCUGUAGGUGACUUCCUUAAUGUUUGUAGUGUGAACAGUUCCACACUCUCAUCCCCCCAAAGGAUCACCAAGGGAAACAACCAUGUAUCAGUAGACUCAACUUUGUAGAACUCUGAAAAGCAGUUGGAGCAUUGCAACAACUAAGUGAAUGCUGAAUCAAGAAAAAGACUAUUUUUAAAUGGUAGGAAAGCUGUGGUUUUAUACUCUCUGCAGCCCUCACCUUUCUUGGCCCGGCAGCAGCAGCAGUAGAUGGUGGUUUGUACUCUGAGAGAGGGGGACUGAUACCUGAUUCUGGAGUGAGCAGAGCAGACUUUACUAGAGGAUAGUUGUGUGUGUUCUGAUCUGUCUUGGGGCCUCCUGAAAGACUGAAGGCAGGGUGUUCCUCUUGGUUUUACCUGCCUCAGGGUAGUGGUGGUAGGGGGCAAUGACUGAAGGCACAUAUAGCCAUCUGGGGCUAAACAGUGUGGUUGAAGCAUACAAUUAAUGCCUAAAGGCUGAAGGAGAACCCAGAGUGAGAGUUCCAUGCAAAAAUUAGCCCUUUCAAAAGUCCCCUGUGUAAGAAGAUACUAAGAAAGCCACACAUAUGCUCAGGGGAAAAGAUAUGAGCCAAAAACACCAAAGAAGACCUACACUUUCACCUUGGGCAGAUCCCUAAGUAUACUUUAAACCAGCCUAAAUGUUGAGAGAGGGGCCGGCACAGAGCCAAUUUGGAAAGAAAAGGAGAGGUCCCCUUCCCACUGGAGUACAAGAAAACUACUUUUGAAGCACUGGGUUGACAUGGGCUGGGGAACAGAAUCCCUUGAUUACCACACAAAUCUAGCAGGCAGUCAUUGCAAAAAUAUUUAGGGGAGGUCUGUGAGCAAAUGGAAUACUACAACCUUCAAAAUUAAAAAAAACUCAAAACCUGGGGAAGGGUAAGAGUCUGAGUUCUAGAGCCAACACAUUCCCAGUUUCAACAAAAAAAUCACAAGGAGCACAAAGAAAUAUGCAAUGAUGAUCCAUUUCAGAGAACAAAAUGAAACAAUCCCUGUGGAAGCCUGGAUAAGAUGGAUAGACUAUAAGACUUCAAACGACAGCAUUAAAAAUGCACAAACAACUAAAGGAAAACACAAAGAACUAAAAGAAAUCAGGAAAUCAAUACAGGAACAAAGUGAGAAUAUCAAUAAGAGAUAGACGCUGUGAAAGGAACCAAACAGAAUUACUGAAGCUGAAAAACACAAUAACUGAAAUGAAAAAUUCACUGAAGAGGCUCAACAGGAGAUUUGAGCUGGCAGAAGAAGGAAUCCGUGAUCUAGAAAAGAUUAUUGAAAUUACUGAGUCCAGAAGCAAAAAGAAAAAAGUGAACAGAGUCUAAAUGGCUUGUGGAACACUACCAACAAACACAUUAUGGGAGUCCCAGAAGGGAGAGAGAGAGAAAAAAAAGGGACAGAGAG
Molecule: RNA transcript, 7572 nt
Organism: Loxodonta africana (African savanna elephant)
Lineage: Eukaryota; Metazoa; Chordata; Mammalia; Proboscidea; Elephantidae
Gene: PTPN18
Gene name: protein tyrosine phosphatase non-receptor type 18
Exons: 16
Source: RefSeq, a predicted model, not a curated record